GAGAAAGAAAAAAGAACUGCUAACUCUUUAUACCAUAUUUAAUCAUAUGGCUUUCUUA
RNAcentral lists this transfer RNA (58 nucleotides) under Elephantulus brachyrhynchus (short-snouted elephant shrew). RNAcentral's name for it is "tRNA-Ser". Lineage: Eukaryota; Metazoa; Chordata; Mammalia; Macroscelidea; Macroscelididae. The record is from RNAcentral.